GGGGGCAUCGCCAAGUGGUAAGGCAACGGAUUGCAAAUCCGUUAUCCCCGGUUCAAAUCCGGGUGCCCCCUCCA
This 74-nucleotide transfer RNA is filed under the name Planctomycetota bacterium. RNAcentral's name for it is "Planctomycetes bacterium (bioreactor metagenome) tRNA-Cys". It matches the Rfam family "tRNA". Rfam says of the family: Transfer RNA (tRNA) molecules are approximately 80 nucleotides in length. Lineage: Bacteria; Pseudomonadati; Planctomycetota. The record is from RNAcentral.